UUGGAGGGCAAGUCUGGUGCCAGCAGCCGCGGUAAUUCCAGCUCCAAUAGCGUAUAUUAAAGUUGUUGCAGUUAAAAAGCUCGUAGUUGAAUUUUAGGCCUGGCCAGGCGGUCCGUCUUUGGCGAGUACUGUUCUGUGUCGGGUCUUACCUUCUGGUGAACCGGUAUGUUCUUUAUUGAGUGUAUCGUGGAGCCAGGACCAUUACCUUGAAAAAAUUAGAGUGUUUAAAGCAGGC
RNAcentral lists this ribosomal RNA (235 nucleotides) under uncultured Glomeromycotina. Its description in RNAcentral is "partial 18S rRNA". It matches the Rfam family "Eukaryotic small subunit ribosomal RNA", at positions 548 to 785 of the family's 1831-position model. The record is from RNAcentral. Lineage: Eukaryota; Fungi; Glomeromycota.